This is a non-coding RNA of Oryctolagus cuniculus (rabbit), 2937 nucleotides long. NCBI's taxonomy places the organism in Eukaryota, Metazoa, Chordata, Mammalia, Lagomorpha, Leporidae. The record is from RefSeq and is a predicted model, not a curated record.
GCCAUUUGUAAUUUUUGCCUAAUAUCUCCGUGCAGAUGCGAUCUUGACACGUUUUUGGCGGCUCCCACCCCGGCAGGGUCCCACACCCACGCGAACAUCCCACCCGGACGCCAGGUUCUCGAAAGCUAUACAGAUGUUCGGAGAUCCUCCGGCAAGAUGUGAUUAGGGAAGCAGUUUCACACCCACACUUCCAAAAGAAAAACCUUUGAAAAGUUACAAACUAAUAAAAGCCAGGAAGUUCCCGGGGAGGGCCCGGGCUCUAUCUUUAGCGGGGACGGGGGUGAACACCCUCCCCCAGGGUGGGGAGCGAGGCGAGUUUGUUUGCUUUGGAAUUUGGUGCUUCCUGGUUUUGUUAAAAAUCGCCGCUCCCUCACAAAUGCCUGCGAGGACCGGUUUUCUUGGAAGUGUUCUCUUAACCGACUGUUCAUGCGCCGCGAGGAGCUGAGAGACAGGUUAGAAUGACCCCAGAGGGCCCGACGACCUUCUUAGACAUUAAUAAAAUGGCAACAAUCAGUGGAACUUGCCCAACACGUGGGUCAGCAUCCUCAGGGGACAUCUGGACACAGAAACGCACACCCUAGGAAGAGGAGAAGAAGACACAGAAAAAAAACAGCCCUGUGAUUAGAAUGAAGAAAUCCACAGUCAAGGAAUCCCAAAGACUGCUGGCUACCAUCUGAGGCUAGGAACGGGCAAGGAAUUUCCCUACAGGAUGUGGAGGGAGCAUCGCUCUGCUGACACUUUGAUUUUGGACAAUAAAUGGUUGAGGUGCAUUGUUACAGUGGUGCUAGGACAGUAGAACAGAGCCUGUUAACUUUUUCCCCUAGAUGGUUUUCACUCUGUCCAAGAAUGGCUUAGAAAACAACACCAACAACAAGCCCAUUUUUAACAUCCUGAAGUUAAAUUUUGGGGCAGUGUUUAUUUUAGGGGAAAAUAAAGCCUUAACAAAGCAAGUUGAUUCUUUAAAAAAUGCAACAAAGAAAAACUUCAAAAUCCUUUAACAAUAAUAUUUGUUGUAACAUAAAACGUGCUAUCCAAGUGGCUGCAAAGAAUGACUACGUGGUUGUGCUAGUUAAUGCGCUACUUAAAAAGGAUUAAGUAAUCAUAGCAAUUAUGACUGAUAAGGCCCAAAAUGAACCAACUAGAACAAAGAAAGGAAGUUGCUGACUCAUCUCGCUGGUGGGAAGUUGAAGGCUCCAGCUCUCUGCUAUGGCCUGGGAUAGCAGUAGAAGAUGGCCUAAGUGCUUGAGCCCCUGCACCCACUUCGGAAGACCCAGAAAAAGCUCCUGGUUCCUGGCCUCGGAUCGGCGCAGCUCCAGCCAUUGCAGCCAUCUGGGAAGUGAACCAGCAGAUGGAAGACCUCUCUCUCUGUCUCUACCUCUCUCUGUAACUCUCUUUCAAAUAAAUAAAAUAAAUUAAAAAAAUAAAUAAAUAAAGGGGUUGGCAGAUGUCUGCCUCCUGAGGAAAGACCACAGCACUACCUCUAAUCUUCCAAAAAUUUGAAUGUGAAUUUGAUCAGGCUGCUAGAUCCAACUAUCAAUAAUUAAAGCAAAUACAAAAGAAAGAGGAACAUGUCCAUAACAAUUAAAUCAGGCACUGUCACACUGUGGAAAAUUACACUGCAGAUGUACUUUUGUGGGGCGGGGGGCAACUAAUUUAUUUUUCCCCCAGAAACCUUUUAUUUAAGGAAUACAAAUUUCAUGCAUUUCAUAAGUACAACUUUAGGAAGGACCAUAGUAAUGACUCCACCAUACCCACCCUCCCACCCAUUAUCCCACCCCUCUGCCUCUUCCCUCUCCUAUUCCCAUUCUUAUUUUUUACCAAGACUUAUUUUCAAUUAACUUUACACACAUAACAGACAUACUUCUUAAGGAAUGUAUUUCAAAGAAAGAAAACCGGAUACAAUCUAUAUAAUAUAAAAAAAUUUUAGAGGUUGGCGCUGUGGCGUAAUGAGUAAAGCCACUGCCUGCGUUGCUGGCAUCCCAUGUGGGCGCCAGUUCUAGUACUGGCUGCUCCAUUUUCCCAUCCAGCUCUCUACUAUGGCCUGGGAAAGCAGUUGAGAAUGGCCCAAGUUCUUGGGCCCCUAACUCAUGUGGAGACCCAGAAGAAGCUCCUGGCUCCUGGCUCCUGGCUUUGGAUCAGCCCAGCUCUGGCCAUUGUGGCCAUUUGGGGAGUGAACCAGCAAAUGGAAGAUCUCUCUAUCUCUGCCUCUCUGUAACUUUGACUUUCAAAUAAAUAAAUAAAUCUUUAAAAAAAAAAAAGAAACUCUAAAAAAAGUUAAAUCCAUAUCAAUCAUUAGCAGAGAAUCUGGAAUCAAAGUAUUUUUGAAAGAAUGGUGUUCAUGAGACUAUCAGAUAUUUGAUGAUAUUAAGUAUUAUGUUUCCAUCUAAGUAAUCUUUCUUUGAGAGAUACAUUCUAAAAUGUUUGCAAAUGAAAUGAUAAUGAUAGCUGGGGAUUACUUCAAAAUAUCCAUGGAGUGGGAGAAAUCAGUAGGGAUAUAGAUGAAGCAGGCUUGUCCACUGGUUGGUCGUUGUUGAAGUUAUUUGAUGGGUACAUGAAGUUCAUGAUAUUUAGUUGUCUACUCCGAUAUAUGCUUGGAAUUUUCCAUUUGCAAUUUUCCAUAGUAAAAUUUUAAGUACAAGAUUGGGGAAGAGGUACACUUGGCUGAUACUCUCCUUUUUCCUUUCUCUGACUUGGAGAUAAAUGUAUUGCUAGAGUCAUUGCAGCCUUCUUAUUGCCAUGAGGCAUAAAGGCAUGACAAUGAGAAUGGCAUAUCAGAAAUAUGGAAAAAAUUCUGAAUCUUUGAUUACACCCAUGAGAUCCAGACCACUGAUAUGGGAAAUAAAUUCAACUUUUUUAAGCUACUAUUGGAAAUGUUAUUUGUUAUUUAUUGCUGAAAGCAUCCUAAACUUAUUCAAUUACUAUGCAAUAAAUCUGACU